Molecule: ribosomal RNA, 253 nt
Filed under: uncultured bacterium
Lineage: Bacteria
Description: partial 16S ribosomal RNA
Rfam family: Bacterial small subunit ribosomal RNA
Source: RNAcentral
UACGUAGGGUGCAAGCGUUAAUCGGAAUUACUGGGCGUAAAGCGUGCGCAGGCGGUUUUGUAAGGCUGGCGGGAAAGCCCCGGGCUCAACCUGGGAAUUGCGAUGGAGACUGCAAGGCUUGAAUCUGGCAGAGGGGGGUAGAAUUCCACGUGUAGCAGUGAAAUGCGUAGAGAUGUGGAGGAACACCGAUGGCGAAGGCAGCCCCCUGGGUCAAGAUUGACGCUCAUGCACGAAAGCGUGGGGAGCAAACAGG